This 78-nucleotide transfer RNA is filed under the name Candidatus Saccharimonadota bacterium. Its description in RNAcentral is "tRNA-Pro". It matches the Rfam family "tRNA". Rfam says of the family: Transfer RNA (tRNA) molecules are approximately 80 nucleotides in length. Their secondary structure includes four short double-helical elements and three loops (D, anti-codon, and T loops). Lineage: Bacteria; Candidatus Saccharimonadota. The record is from RNAcentral.
CAGGGUGUAGCUCAGUCUGGCCAGAGUUCCCGCCUUGGACGCGGGAUGUCGUAGGUUCGAAUCCUUCCACCUUGACCA